CCUGGCUCAGGAUGAACGCUAGCUACAGGCUUAACACAUGCAAGUCGAGGGGCAGCAUGGUCUUAGCUUGCUAAGGCCGAUGGCGACCGGCGCACGGGUGAGUAACACGUAUCCAACCUGCCGUCUACUCUUGGACAGCCUUCUGAAAGGAAGAUUAAUACAAGAUGGCAUCAUGAGUCCGCAUGUUCACAUGAUUAAAGGUAUUCCGGUAGACGAUGGGGAUGCGUUCCAUUAGAUAGUAGGCGGGGUAACGGCCCACCUAGUCUUCGAUGGAUAGGGGUUCUGAGAGGAAGGUCCCCCACAUUGGAACUGAGACACGGUCCAAACUCCUACGGGAGGCAGCAGUGAGGAAUAUUGGUCAAUGGGCGAGAGCCUGAACCAGCCAAGUAGCGUGAAGGAUGACUGCCCUAUGGGUUGUAAACUUCUUUUAUAAAGGAAUAAAGUCGGGUAUGGAUACCCGUUUGCAUGUACUUUAUGAAUAAGGAUCGGCUAACUCCGUGCCAGCAGCCGCGGUAAUACGGAGGAUCCGAGCGUUAUCCGGAUUUAUUGGGUUUAAAGGGAGCGUAGAUGGAUGUUUAAGUCAGUUGUGAAAGUUUGCGGCUCAACCGUAAAAUUGCAGUUGGUACUGGAUAUCUUGAGUGCAGUUGAGGCAGGCGGAAUUCGUGGUGUAGCGGUGAAAUGCUUAGAUAUCACGAAGAACUCCGAUUGCGAAGGCAGCCUGCUAAGCUGCAACUGACAUUGAGGCUCGAAAGUGUGGGUAUCAAACAGGAUUAGAUACCCUGGUAGUCCACACGGUAAACGAUGAAUACUCGCUGUUUGCGAUAUACUGCAAGCGGCCAAGCGAAAGCGUUAAGUAUUCCACCUGGGGAGUACGCCGGCAACGGUGAAACUCAAAGGAAUUGACGGGGGCCCGCACAAGCGGAGGAACAUGUGGUUUAAUUCGAUGAUACGCGAGGAACCUUACCCGGGCUUAAAUUGCAGAUGAAUUACGGUGAAAGCCGUAAGCCGCAAGGCAUCUGUGAAGGUGCUGCAUGGUUGUCGUCAGCUCGUGCCGUGAGGUGUCGGCUUAAGUGCCAUAACGAGCGCAACCCUUGUUGUCAGUUACUAACAGGUUCCGCUGAGGACUCUGACAAGACUGCCAUCGUAAGAUGUGAGGAAGGUGGGGAUGACGUCAAAUCAGCACGGCCCUUACGUCCGGGGCUACACACGUGUUACAAUGGGGGGUACAGAGGGCCGCUACCACGCGAGUGGAUGCCAAUCCCCAAAACCUCUCUCAGUUCGGACUGGAGUCUGCAACCCGACUCCACGAAGCUGGAUUCGCUAGUAAUCGCGCAUCAGCCACGGCGCGGUGAAUACGUUCCCGGGCCUUGUACACACCGCC
RNAcentral lists this ribosomal RNA (1381 nucleotides) under uncultured bacterium. RNAcentral describes it as "bacterial SSU rRNA". It matches the Rfam family "Bacterial small subunit ribosomal RNA", at positions 18 to 1394 of the family's 1533-position model. The record is from RNAcentral.